UACGGAGGGUGCGAGCGUUAUCCGGAAUUACUGGGUUUAAAGGGUGCGCAGGCGGCCAUUUAAGUCAGAAGUGAAAGACCCCCGCUUAACGGGGGAGCUGCUUUUGAUACUGAUUGGCUCGGAUUAGGAUGAGGUCGGCGGAAUGUGACAUGUAGCGGUGAAAUGCAUAGAUAUGUCAUGGAACACCAAUUGCGUAGGCAGCCGGCUGGACCUAUAUCGACGCUGAGGCACGAAAGCGUGGGGAGCGAACAGG
This 253-nucleotide ribosomal RNA is filed under the name uncultured bacterium. RNAcentral describes it as "partial 16S ribosomal RNA". It matches the Rfam family "Bacterial small subunit ribosomal RNA", at positions 524 to 776 of the family's 1533-position model. The record is from RNAcentral.